Molecule: transfer RNA, 75 nt
Organism: Bacteroidales bacterium KA00251
Lineage: Bacteria; Pseudomonadati; Bacteroidota; Bacteroidia; Bacteroidales
Rfam family: tRNA
About the family: Transfer RNA (tRNA) molecules are approximately 80 nucleotides in length. Their secondary structure includes four short double-helical elements and three loops (D, anti-codon, and T loops).
Source: Rfam
GGGUUCAUAGCUCAGCUGGUUUAGAGCAUCUGUCUUACAAACAGAGGGUCAUAGGUUCGAAUCCUAUUGGACCCA